Molecule: ribosomal RNA, 484 nt
Filed under: uncultured bacterium
Lineage: Bacteria
Description: partial 16S ribosomal RNA
Rfam family: Bacterial small subunit ribosomal RNA
Source: RNAcentral
AUUGAACGCUGGCGGCAGGCCUAACACAUGCAAGUCGAGCGGAUGAAGGGAGCUUGCUCCUGGAUUCAGCGGCGGACGGGUGAGUAAUGCCUAGGAAUCUGCCUGGUAGUGGGGGAUAACGUCCGGAAACGGGCGCUAAUACCGCAUACGUCCUGAGGGAGAAAGUGGGGGAUCUUCGGACCUCACGCUAUCAGAUGAGCCUAGGUCGGAUUAGCUAGUUGGUGGGGUAAAGGCCUACCAAGGCGACGAUCCGUAACUGGUCUGAGAGGAUGAUCAGUCACAAUGGAACUGAGAAACGGUCCAGGCUCCUAAGGGAAGGAGCAGUGGGGAAUAUUGGGCCAUGGGCGAAAGCCUGAUCCAGCCAUGCCGCGUGUGUGAAGAAGGUCUUCGGAUUGUAAAGCACUUUAAGUUGGGAGGAAGGGCAGUAAGUUAAUACCUUGCUGUUUUGACGUUACCAACAGAAUAAGCACCGGCUAACUUCGUG